GAAAUGCGAUAAUUAAUGUGAAUUGCAGAAUUCAGUGAAUCAUCGAGUCUUUGAACGCACAUUGCGCCCCCUGGUAUUCCGGGGGGCAUGCCUGUCCGAGCGUCAUUGCUGCCCUCAAGCACGGCUUGUGUGUUGGGCUUCCGUCCCUGGCAACGGGGACGGGCCCAAAAGGCAGUGGCGGCACCAUGUCUGGUCCUCGAGCGUAUGGGGCUUUGUCACCCGCUCCCGUAGGUCCAGCUGGCAGCUAGCCUCGCAACCAAUCUUUUUAACCAGGUUGACAUCGGAACAGGUAGGGAUACCCGCUGAACUUAAGC
Molecule: unclassified non-coding RNA, 314 nt
Filed under: plant metagenome
Description: partial contains 5.8S ribosomal RNA, internal transcribed spacer 2, and large subunit ribosomal RNA
Rfam family: 5.8S ribosomal RNA (bases 1-105)
Source: RNAcentral